GCUAGCGUUGUCCGGAAUCAUUGGGCGUAAAGCGCGUGUAGGCGGUCCGGUAAGUCCGCUGUGAAAGUCGAGGGCUCAACCCUCGAAUGCCGGUGGAUACUGUCGGGCUUGAGUACGGGAGAGGCGAGUGGAAUUCCUGGUGUAGCGGUGAAAUGCGCAGAUAUCAGGAGGAACACCGAGUGCGAAGGCAGCUCGCUGGAACGUUACUGACGCUGAGACGCGAAAGCGUGGGGAGCAAACAGG
Molecule: ribosomal RNA, 243 nt
Filed under: uncultured bacterium
Lineage: Bacteria
Description: partial 16S ribosomal RNA
Rfam family: Bacterial small subunit ribosomal RNA
Source: RNAcentral